RNAcentral lists this ribosomal RNA (687 nucleotides) under uncultured marine alpha proteobacterium. Its description in RNAcentral is "bacterial SSU rRNA". It matches the Rfam family "Bacterial small subunit ribosomal RNA", at positions 837 to 1532 of the family's 1533-position model. The record is from RNAcentral. Lineage: Bacteria; Pseudomonadati; Pseudomonadota; Alphaproteobacteria.
UUUUCAGUGUCGCAGCAAAAGCGUAAAGCACACCGCCUGGGGAGUACGACCGCAAGGUUAAAACUCAAAUGAAUUGACGGGGACCCGCACAAGUAGUGGAGCAUGUGGUUUAAUUCGAAGAUACGCGCAGAACCUUACCAACACUUGACAUGUUCGUCGCGACUCUAAGAGAUUAGAGUUUUCGGUUCGGCCGGACGAAACACAGGUGCUGCAUGGCUGUCGUCAGCUCGUGUCGUGAGAUGUUGGGUUAAGUCCCGCAACGAGCGCAACCCCCACUUUUAGUUGCUACCAUUUAGUUGGGCACUCUAAAAGAACUGCCAGUGAUAAGCUGGAGGAAGGCGGGGAUGACGUCAAGUCCUCAUGGCCCUUACGUGUUGGGCUACACACGUGCUACAAUGGUACUUACAGUGAGAAGCGAAGAGGCGACUCUAAGCCAAUCCCUAAAAGGUACCUCAGUUCGGAUUGUACUCUGCAACUCGAGUACAUGAAGCUGGAAUUACUAGUAAUCGCGGAUCAGCGCGCCGCGGUGAAUACGUUCCCGGGUCUUGUACACACCGCCCGUCACACCAUGGAAGUUGGUUACACCUUAAGGCAAAGCGUAAAACCUUUGACUACGGUACGAUCAGCGACUGGGGUGAAGUCGUAACAAGGUAGCCGUAGGGGAACCUGCGGCUGGAUCACCUCCUU